This 464-nucleotide ribosomal RNA is filed under the name uncultured Klebsiella sp. Its description in RNAcentral is "bacterial SSU rRNA". It matches the Rfam family "Bacterial small subunit ribosomal RNA", at positions 338 to 795 of the family's 1533-position model. Lineage: Bacteria; Pseudomonadati; Pseudomonadota; Gammaproteobacteria; Enterobacterales; Enterobacteriaceae. The record is from RNAcentral.
CCUACGGGUGGCUGCAGUGGGGAAUAUUGCACAAUGGGCGCAAGCCUGAUGCAGCCAUGCCGCGUGUGUGAAGAAGGCCUUCGGGUUGUAAAGCACUUUCAGCGGGGAGGAAGGCGUUAAGGUUAAUAACCUUGUCGAUUGACGUUACCCGCAGAAGAAGCACCGGCUAACUCCGUGCCAGCAGCCGCGGUAAUACGGAGGGUGCAAGCGUUAAUCGGAAUUACUGGGCGUAAAGCGCACGCAGGCGGUCUGUCAAGUCGGAUGUGAAAUCCCCGGGCUCAACCUGGGAACUGCAUUCGAAACUGGCAGGCUAGAGUCUUGUAGAGGAGGGUAGAAUUCCAGGUGUAGCGGUGAAAUGCGUAGAGAUCUGGAGGAAUACCGGUGGCGAAGGGGCCCCCUGGACAAAGACUGACGCUCAGGUGCGAAAGCGUGGGGAGCAAACAGGAUUAGAUACCCCUGUAGUC